AGUGAACGCUGGCGGUAGGCCUAACACAUGCAAGUCGAACGGCAGCACAGUAAGAGCUUGCUCUUACGGGUGGCGAGUGGCGGACGGGUGAGGAAUACAUCGGAAUCUACUUUUUCGUGGGGGAUAACGUAGGGAAACUUACGCUAAUACCGCAUACGACCUACGGGUGAAAGCAGGGGAUCUUCGGACCUUGCGCGAUUGAAUGAGCCGAUGUCGGAUUAGCUAGUUGGCGGGGUAAAGGCCCACCAAGGCGACGAUCCGUAGCUGGUCUGAGAGGAUGAGAGGCGACACUGGAACUGAGACACGGUCCAGACUCGUACGGGAGGCAGCAGUGGGGAAGAUUGAGAAAGGGGCGAAAGGCUGACCGAGCAAUGCCGCGGGAGGGAAGAAGGUCUUCGGAUCGUACAACUUUUUGAUUAGAGAAGAAAAAAAGCGGAAGCAACCAUGGAUGUCGUGAGGGUACCUAAUGAGAAAGCCCGGGCUAACUUCGUG
Molecule: ribosomal RNA, 492 nt
Filed under: uncultured bacterium
Lineage: Bacteria
Description: partial 16S ribosomal RNA
Rfam family: Bacterial small subunit ribosomal RNA
Source: RNAcentral